ACCAGUGUAAAGCGCUUUAGAACCAUAGGGGUUAAGAAAGUGCAGACCAUUUCCCAUGCUUUUCUGUGAUAUAAUGGAUAUUCUGAUAUCCUUGGGUUAAAAAAAAAAAAAUUACAAAUUGUUAAAAGUAUUUAAAAUUAGAAGUGAAUAGAAGUAGUUAGAAGUUAGUAGUAGUUAGAAGUAGAAGUGGUAGAAGUGAAUAGAAGUAGAAGUAGUUAGAAGUAGAAGUGAAUAGCAGUAGUUAGAAUUAGAAGUAGUUAGAAGUGAAUAGAAGUAGGUAGAAGGGAACAGAAGUAGUUAGAAGUAGAAGUGAGUAGAAGUGAAUAGAAGUAGGUAGAAGGGAAUAGAAGUGGUUAGAAGUAGGUAGAAGUAGUUAGAAGUAGUAGUGAAUAGAAGUAAGAAGAAAUCGGUAGAAGUAGUCAGAAGUAGAAGUGGAUAGAAGUCGAAGUAGUUAGAAGUGAGUAGAAGUAGUUAGAUGUGGUUAAAAGUGAAUAGAAGUGAUUAGAAGUAGAAGUGAAUAAAAGUAAAUAGAAGUAGGUAGAUGUGAAUAGAACUGUUAGAAAGUAGGAAUAGUUAGAAGUAAGUAGAAGUGAAUAGAAGUAGAAGUGAAUAGAAGUAGUUAGAAGUAAAUGGAAGUGAGUAGAAGUGAGUAGAAGUAGAAGUAGUUAGUAGAAGUGAGUAGAAGUGAAUAGAAGUAGAAGUGAAUAGAAGUAGAAGUGAGUAGAAGUGAGUAGAAGUAGUUAGUAGAAGUGAAUAGAAGUAGAAGUGAUUAGUAGAAGUGAGUAGAAGUAGAAGUAGUUAGUAGAAGUGAGUAGAAGUAGUGAGUAGAAGUGAAUAGAAGUAGAAGUGAGUAGAAGUGAAUAGAAGUAGAAGUGAGUAGAAGUAGAAGUAGUUAGAAGAAGUGAUUAGAUGGCAAGAUGUUGGACCUAAUGAUUAAAAUAAUUUGCUUGUAUGUGUGUUUUAGUGGCGCUCUGCUGCACUGUUGUACCGGCAGUAAUGCACAGACCUGUGUUCGUCAGGAGGCGUAUGGUAGAAAUACCUUCCAGAAUCAUGAUAUAUUUCAUAUCUCUCGCCCUCACACCUGGAAGCGAGUUGCACUUGUAUCCUCACAUGUAGAUAAUCCCUAAAUGUCCUGGCGCAGAGCUUCAGAACCUCCUCCUGGACUCUGUCAUGGUCAGAUUGACAGCUUUGUGCUGGGCCUGUCUCUGUGAUGAAGACGGAGACUGCUCGCUCCUCUGAGCGUGUUCCUGGAGCUCGGCGGUUCACGCCGGAGUGCUUUAGUUCUCUCGUUAAACCCCAGACGUCGCCUGAGCGGCGUAAACGUCAGUCCCCUGCCCCGCGUGACCCUGUAAGGCGCACGAGCGCGCCGAGCCGAGAUGUGGUGGAAGAGCCGCUGUAUUCUUUACUAGCUCUGGAACCGGAGCCUUGGCUUCUCGCGGCAGGUUAUACGGACACGACGCAGAGUCUCGGAGAGACUUUAUUGUACUUUUGUGUCCCGGAGCGCAUGCCUUGGUCUACUUCCUCUGACUAAAAAAAAUUUUUUUUUUUAAAUAAACGUGAUAUUUAAAAAUAUAUAUAUAUUUUGGAUGAUGC
Molecule: long non-coding RNA, 1593 nt
Organism: Ictalurus punctatus (channel catfish)
Lineage: Eukaryota; Metazoa; Chordata; Actinopteri; Siluriformes; Ictaluridae
Source: Ensembl